RNAcentral lists this long non-coding RNA (525 nucleotides) under Zonotrichia albicollis (white-throated sparrow). RNAcentral's name for it is "lncRNA (ENSZALG00000000773.1)". Lineage: Eukaryota; Metazoa; Chordata; Aves; Passeriformes; Passerellidae. The record is from RNAcentral.
UAUUUUAUCUUCUAUAUCCACCUAUUCUUUUUCUUUUUAUCUUUUUCUCAUUCCUUUCCUUAUCCCUACUCCUAUUUUUAUUCUCAUUCUUAUUAUUUGUUUUCUCAUUCUUAUUUUAAUUCUUAUUCCUAUUCCUUUUCCUGUUCUUUUUAUUAUUUUUUUUUAUUUAUUUUUCUUCCUUUGUUUCCCUGUUCAUACUCUUUUCAUCAGCAGUGUGCCCUACUCCUUGGGCUGUUGUCCCAGGCAGGGGAAGCAGAGCAGGCUGCUCAGCGUCCGCAGCGCCUGUGGUGUCCCGGCCUGUGGUGUCCCGGCCUGCGGCACCUGGUCCUGGAAGGCAGGAGAGGCCGUGUGUCCUUUGGGGGCUUCCACACGGUGAGGAGGACUUCUAAGGUGUCUGCAAGUGGCUGUGUUGCUGUUAAAUUUAAUGGGCUCCAGCUGUGCAACGGCAUUAUCACUAAGAAAGAAAAAAUCACUAGAAGGAAAAGCCAGGAAAACACGAUUAUUUUUUUAUUGCAUUCAGAGUGA